Medicago truncatula (barrel medic) is the source of this 1370-nucleotide RNA transcript. It is a transcript of the gene named iron-sulfur cluster co-chaperone protein HscB homolog, with no coding region annotated. NCBI's taxonomy places the organism in Eukaryota, Viridiplantae, Streptophyta, Magnoliopsida, Fabales, Fabaceae. The record is from RefSeq and is a predicted model, not a curated record. The transcript is spliced from 8 exons.
CUGGUUACCCGCUUCCCCUUACAAGUUACAACCUACCAACUGUUUGAAAAAACUUGUCAACCAAACACGUCGCACAAACUAUCAUCGUACAAGUAUCAGAUACAAACCAAAUAAAUCAAGUGUUAGUGUUCUGUCACCGAAUCUAACUUGUCUCCUAAACUCAUUCUUUAUUUCUUCACCCUCCCAAAUUUCAGGAAUCUUCAAUUACUUCUUCAACAAUGACAAAGAAAUUUCUCACCAAACCUCUUUCAACCUUCUUCAACUUCACACGAACACGAACCUUAACCUCGAUUCCUCAACGUCUAUUACCUCACCUUAAACCUCAAUCUCCAUCACCACCCUUUACACCGUAUCAUACUCAUCAUCUAUAUCAUAAUUACGAUUAUUCUUCACCUGGGUCUCUAAGAUUUUGCAGAAAAAGUUUAUGUUCAAAACCUGAGCAGAAUUUUCAACCAACAUGCUGGAAUUGUCAUGCUGUUCCUCAAUCAACACCUUUCUUGUUCUGCCAGUCGUGUCGCUGUAUUCAACCUGUUGAUCGUUCAAAUGACUAUUUUGAUAUUUUUGGAUUGGAGAGGAAGUAUGACGUAGGGGGUAUCGAUUUGGAGGGGAAAUACAAGGAGUGGCAAAAGAAACUACAUCCUGAUUUGGUGCAUUCAAAAUCUCAGGAAGAAAGAGAUUAUGCUGCUGAACAAUCUGCAAGGGUGAUUGAUGCAUAUCGUACACUUAGCAAACCUUUGUCAAGAGCAAUUUACAUGCUGAAACUCGAUGGAGUGGAAGUUGACGAGGAGCAGACAAUUUCAGAUCCUGAAUUACUAGCAGAGAUUAUGGAAAUCAGGGAAGCUGUUGAAGAAGCAACUAACUCCGAGGCUUUGAAUCACAUUCGCUCUGAGAUGCAGGAGAAAAUGCAAAGUUGGUCUAAUGCCUUCGCUGAUGCUUUUCAAAGGCGGGACUUUGAAGAAGCAAAGAAUGCAAUUAGGAGAAUGAUUUAUUAUACCCGUGUAAUUGAGGAAGUUGUAAAGAAGCUUUGAUACAGGAUAUUGUUACUGUUGUGCUUGUUCUGGCUUUUAGAAUCAAGGCUUUCAGAAUAAAAUGUUUCCAACAUGGAGCUAUGCCUUCGGGGGCAAAUGGUAGAUCAGUGCUGAGUAUGAACUACGAAGAAUUUGAUCCAUUGAGUCCAAUGAAGUGGCCUUUGAGUAAAUAACCAUUUGAUUACAUCAUUUGUAUCAAUGGACGUUAUUGCUUUGCUAUGCACGUGUCUGUGUCGAAGUUUACAUGUUUUCACACACCAUGAGCUACAUCCCUAGCAUGAGCACUCAUUCAGGUCCGCUGCAUGCAGCAAAGCAACACUCAUGUAUUCAAUAAAGUUAUAU